CAACAACACUCUGCUUGCUUCUCACCCAAGUUUUACCCCUUCACAUAUGUAUUUUUCCUUCAACCUAUUCUUAGAUUGCUCUUUCGACUCUACAAAGGUAUGUGAAACCAGAUUACCACACCUGAUAAAGAAUAUAAACACAGCAGAGGUGGAGCCUAUUUUUCCUUUCCUCCAAUCAGAAUUGAACCUGAAACUCACUUUGGUCAACAGAACUUUAGCAGACGUGAGCUCCGUGGUCCCUGCGAAGAGCCGGCUGUCAACUGUUGUGGCCUUUCAGAGCCGGGCUUUUUCCUCCGUGGCCAGCUUUUUCACCC
Equus caballus (horse) is the source of this 314-nucleotide non-coding RNA. Lineage: Eukaryota; Metazoa; Chordata; Mammalia; Perissodactyla; Equidae. The record is from RefSeq and is a predicted model, not a curated record.